Molecule: ribosomal RNA, 253 nt
Filed under: uncultured bacterium
Lineage: Bacteria
Description: partial 16S ribosomal RNA
Rfam family: Bacterial small subunit ribosomal RNA
Source: RNAcentral
AACGUAGGAGGCAAGCGUUAUCCGGAGUAACUGGGCGUAAAGGGCGGGUAGGUGGUUGUGUAAGUUGGUUAUGAAAGCUCCUGGCUAAACUGGGAGAGGUUGACCAAGACUGCAGAACUUGAGUGGAGAAGAGGUAAACGGAAUUCCGCGUGUGGUGGUGAAAUGCGUAGAGAUGCGGAAGAACACCAGUGGCGAAGGCGGUUUACUGGUCUCCAACUGACACUGAGCCGCGAAAGCAUGGGUAGCGAACGGG